UGGAAAUGUUGUGUUUCCGCAUCAGGAACU
Molecule: small RNA, 30 nt
Filed under: Bombyx mori (domestic silkworm)
Lineage: Eukaryota; Metazoa; Arthropoda; Insecta; Lepidoptera; Bombycidae
Description: ovarian small RNA-34406
Source: RNAcentral